Non-coding RNA from Ascaris suum (pig roundworm), 299 nucleotides. The record is from Rfam. NCBI's taxonomy places the organism in Eukaryota, Metazoa, Nematoda, Chromadorea, Rhabditida, Ascarididae.
GCCGGGCGUCGUGGCGGGCGUCUGUAAUGCAAGUGACUGGCAGGCAGAUGGUGGUGGAUGGAGUGAGAGGAGGAGUCCUGUUGGGUGCUCGGCGACGGCGACCGAGCGUCCAGACCAAGCGCGGUGUCGAUAAGGUGUCACUGGGGGAGCCCGGAGGCAGCUGGUCGUACAAUGAGGGACGCACGGCUCAGGGCCGAGAGGCAGCAGGCAAAAGUCCGCGCAUCGCGACAGUGGUCGGAUAGCGCUUGCGAGUCGUUGACAUCUGCCAGCCUCCCCAAUACCUUCAGACCCAUCGUCGA